This 218-nucleotide ribosomal RNA is filed under the name uncultured fungus. RNAcentral describes it as "partial small subunit ribosomal RNA". It matches the Rfam family "Eukaryotic small subunit ribosomal RNA", at positions 582 to 799 of the family's 1831-position model. The record is from RNAcentral. Lineage: Eukaryota; Fungi.
AUUCCAGCUCCAAUAGCGUAUAUUAAAGUUGUUGCAGUUAAAAAGCUCGUAGUUGAAUUUCGGGAUUGGCGUGUCGGUCGUGCCUUAAGGGGUAUGAACUGGCGUCGUCGAUUUCUCACCUUCUGGAGAAACGCGAUGCCCUUAAUUGGGUGUCGUGCGGAACCAGGACCUUUACCUUGGAAAAAUUAGAGUGUUUAAAGCAGGCAUUCGUGCUCGAA